GGCUCCGCGGGAAAAGAGGCCUUGUUAGAGGCGCGAGGUAGUUUGGGGCUGAAGCCUUCUGCUCAAGAGUAACCUUAGGCCUGUGUUGUGGUCACGCCAGCGGCCUCCGUUUCCUUUAGCCUUCUCCCUCACCAAACGACUUUCCUGUCCAGUUAUAAAAUGCAAGUUGUUUCCCCAAGGAAAACAUCAUGUGAUUCAUUUUCUUUUAGAGAAAUUUUCAAAAGGGAGUGCUCUUUGGAUCAACACCUGUAGGAAAGGAGCUGCCCUGCACUCUCAGCAAAGACCUCAGCCAACCCCAAGCUGAGACAGAGCAAUAGAGACCAGAUGUACCUUUCUCAGCUGAAACAACUAAAAAGACAAGACAAAAUAUAUGAAAGAAUGGUUAUUGAGACAGUGGACAUCACACAGUGAAUGACAGUGAUCCCUGAGAGAGAGAAGCAAACAAG
This 446-nucleotide long non-coding RNA is filed under the name Sus scrofa (pig). Its description in RNAcentral is "lncRNA (ENSSSCG00065001233.1)". The record is from RNAcentral. Lineage: Eukaryota; Metazoa; Chordata; Mammalia; Artiodactyla; Suidae.